RNAcentral lists this ribosomal RNA (253 nucleotides) under uncultured bacterium. RNAcentral's name for it is "partial 16S ribosomal RNA". It matches the Rfam family "Bacterial small subunit ribosomal RNA", at positions 524 to 776 of the family's 1533-position model. The record is from RNAcentral.
UACGUAGGGGGCGAGCGUUGUCCGGAGUUACUGGGCGUAAAGGGCGCGCAGGCGGUCUGGCAAGUUUGGAGUGACAGUGCUCGGCUUAACUGAGCAAGGCCUUCGAAAACUGCUAGACUUGAGCACUCAAGAGGGAUAUAGAAUUCCGGGUGGAGUGGUGAAAUGCGUAGAUAUCCGGAGGAAUACCAAAGGCGAAGGCAGUGUCUUGGGGAGUGUCUGACGCUCAGGCGCGAAAGCUAGGGGAGCGAACAGG